UAAUACGAAGGGGGCUAGCGUUGUUCGGAAUUACUGGGCGUAAAGCGCGCGCAGGCGGUUCGAUAAGUUGGGGGUGAAAUCCCCGGGCUCAACCCGGGAAUGGCCUUCAAGACUGUCGAGCUAGAGGACGAGAGAGGUGAGUGGAAUUCCCAGUGUAGAGGUGAAAUUCGUAGAUAUUGGGAAGAACACCGGUGGCGAAGGCGGCUCACUGGCUCGUUUCUGACGCUGAGGCGCGAAAGCGUGGGGAGCAAACAGGAUUAGAUACCCUGGUAGUCCACGCCGUAAACGAUGAGUGCCAGGUGUCGGGGGACUUAGUCCUUCGGCGCCGCAGCUAACGCCUUAAGCACUCCGCCUGGGGAGUACGGCCGCAAGGUUA
RNAcentral lists this ribosomal RNA (376 nucleotides) under uncultured bacterium. RNAcentral describes it as "bacterial SSU rRNA". It matches the Rfam family "Bacterial small subunit ribosomal RNA", at positions 521 to 896 of the family's 1533-position model. The record is from RNAcentral.